RNAcentral lists this ribosomal RNA (370 nucleotides) under uncultured Glomeromycotina. RNAcentral describes it as "LSU rRNA". Lineage: Eukaryota; Fungi; Glomeromycota. The record is from RNAcentral.
UUGAAAGGGAAACGAUUGAAGUCAGUCGUACUGGCGGGCAAUCAGCCUUUCGAGUGGGGGUUUUGGGGGCUUGAGGAGUUAAUCACCUUCAUCUUUGCAUAUUUGUGCACUUUGGGUGUACUUGCUCGUUGGUAGGUUAACAUCAAUUUUAGUCAUCAUAAAAUGGCUGGAGGAAUGUAGCUUCGAUCUCGUAUUGAAGUGUUAUAGCCUUUGGUAGACGUGAUGAUUGGGAUUGAGGAUUGCAACGGAUACCCUUCGGGCUACCUGUCUGAUCUCUGGAAGUUGCUCUGGUGCUGAAAGCUUGCUUAUGGUAUCAAAGUUGACGUCUAAUAGGUUAGAAUGGGUUAAAUUCGUUAAGGAUGUUGACGUA